Molecule: ribosomal RNA, 1222 nt
Filed under: Salmonella enterica
Lineage: Bacteria; Pseudomonadati; Pseudomonadota; Gammaproteobacteria; Enterobacterales; Enterobacteriaceae
Also listed under: 1 other name
Description: bacterial LSU rRNA
Rfam family: Bacterial large subunit ribosomal RNA
Source: RNAcentral
CCCAACACACAAAACAAGCGGUGAGUGCUUUGGGGUGGGGUGACUGCGUACCUUUUGUAUAAUGGGUCAGCGACUUAUAUUCUGUAGCAAGGUUAACCGUAUAGGGGAGCCGAAGGGAAACCGAGUCUUAACUGGGCGUUAAGUUGCAGGGUAUAGACCCGAAACCCGGUGAUCUAGCCAUGGGCAGGUUGAAGGUUGGGUAACACUAACUGGAGGACCGAACCGACUAAUGUUGAAAAAUUAGCGGAUGACUUGUGGCUGGGGGUGAAAGGCCAAUCAAACCGGGAGAUAGCUGGUUCUCCCCGAAAGCUAUUUAGGUAGCGCCUCGUGAACUCAUCUUCGGGGGUAGAGCACUGUUUCGGCUAGGGGGUCAUCCCGACUUACCAACCCGAUGCAAACUGCGAAUACCGAAGAAUGUUAUCACGGGAGACACACGGCGGGUGCUAACGUCCGUCGUGAAGAGGGAAACAACCCAGACCGCCAGCUAAGGUCCCAAAGUCACAGUUAAGUGGGAAACGAUGUGGGAAGGCUCAGACAGCCAGGAUGUUGGCUUAGAAGCAGCCAUCAUUUAAAGAAAGCGUAAUAGCUCACUGGUCGAGUCGGCCUGCGCGGAAGAUGUAACGGGGCUAAACUGUGCACCGAAGCUGCGGCAGCGACGCUUAUGCGUUGUUGGGUAGGGGAGCGUUCUGUAAGCCUGCGAAGGUGUCCUGUGAGGGAUGCUGGAGGUAUCAGAAGUGCGAAUGCUGACAUAAGUAACGAUAAUGCGGGUGAAAAGCCCGCUCGCCGGAAGACCAAGGGUUCCUGUCCAACGUUAAUCGGGGCAGGGUGAGUCGACCCCUAAGGCGAGGCCGAAAGGCGUAGUCGAUGGGAAACGGGUUAAUAUUCCCGUACUUGGUGUUACUGCGAAGGGGGGACGGAGAAGGCUAUGUUGGCCGGGCGACGGUUGUCCCGGUUUAAGCGUGUAGGCUGGUUUUCCAGGCAAAUCCGGAAAAUCAAGGCUGAGGCGUGAUGACGAGGCACUACGGUGCUGAAGCAACAAAUGCCCUGCUUCCAGGAAAAGCCUCUAAGCAUCAGGUAACAUCAAAUCGUACCCCAAACCGACACAGGUGGUCAGGUAGAGAAUACCAAGGCGCUUGAGAGAACUCGGGUGAAGGAACUAGGCAAAAUGGUGCCGUAACUUCGGGAGAAGGCACGCUGACACGUAGGUGAAGUGAUUUACUCA